Molecule: ribosomal RNA, 412 nt
Filed under: uncultured microorganism
Description: bacterial SSU rRNA
Rfam family: Bacterial small subunit ribosomal RNA
Source: RNAcentral
GAGUUUGAUCUUGGCUCAGAUUGAACGCUGGCGGCAGGCCUAACACAUGCAAGUCGAACGGUAACAGGAAACAGCUUGCUGUUUCGCUGACGAGUGGCGGACGGGUGAGUAAUGUCUGGGAAACUGCCUGAUGGAGGGGAUAACUACUGGAAACGGUAGCUAAUACCGCGUAACGUCGCAAGACCAAAGAGGGGGACCUUCGGGCCUCUUGCCAUCGGAUGUGCCCAGAUGGGAUUAGCUAGUAGGUGGGGUAACGGCUCACCUAGGCGACGAUCCCUAGCUGGUCUGAGAGGAUGACCAGCCACACUGGAACUGAGACACGGUCCAGACCCCUACCGGGAGGCAGCAGUGGGGAAUAUUGCACAAUGGGCGGCAAGCCUGAUGCAGCCAUGCCGCGUGUAUGAAGAAGGCC